This 510-nucleotide long non-coding RNA is filed under the name Ananas comosus (pineapple). Its description in RNAcentral is "long non-coding RNA (ACOM_LNC039568)". Lineage: Eukaryota; Viridiplantae; Streptophyta; Magnoliopsida; Poales; Bromeliaceae. The record is from RNAcentral.
CUACUAUGCUAUUAAUAGCACGAAGCACUUGGUGCUACCAAGUUUUCCGCCGUUAGAUCUACCAUUUUGAUCAUUUUCACCCGUUAGAUCAUACUAUUUAACCAACCACCCACUCAACCCUAGGGGACCCACAUCAUCCUAACCGCACAUCUCUUAAUCCAAUGGCUAAAAACUUGGUAGCACCAAUGACUUGGUGCUAUUAAUAGCAUAGUAGCCUAGUUCUAUAUAUAUAUAUAUAUAUAUAGUCCGGCUACUAUACUUUUUUGAGUAUUAGCUUUCUUAUACUCAUAAGUUUUCGGCCCUUAGAUUUAUUUCUUUAAUCAUUUUCACUCGUUAGAUCAUACUAUUCAACAAACUACCCACUCAACCCUAGGGGACCGUUCCUAGAGCAAGUGGCAAAAGAUUUGGUGGUUGGUACCCAAGGUCCUAAGUUCGAAUCCUAGUUUAUUCACAUUUCCAGCUAAGUUUAUUUCUAAUUGAAAUAAACGAAGCGGAUAGCGUGCUACAUAU